CGCAUUGUGUUUGGAGUGAGUGCCUCUUCCCCGCAAUCAAGAGGGCGGCGACUCAGCGUCCUUGGAAGCAUUGUGUUUGGAGUGGGUGCCUCUUCCCGGCAAUCAAAAGACCCUCGGAAGUGAGAUGCGAAGACGGUGCACUUCCUGUGAUGUGCCGCCGAGCGAACCCUGGUCCCUAACUUGAGUCCUUCGUAAAGAAACAGAAAAACAUCAAUCCGCUUCCACACCAAACUAUGGAAUUUUACUUAGUGUGCACAGAAAGCGGGGGAACGCGAACAGCUGCCACGAACACAGGCAGCCUUUCCUGAGAACCCGGUGUGAGGCUGCCCCCUUGUGUUCCCUGGAAUAUGCAACAACACAGAGGAGUACAUAACACUAGAGACCACAUCUCAACUCAUCUUUGGCCACCCCGACUCCAUGCCUCCCUAGUAACCUUCAUUUUGUAAGUUAACUGCAAUCUAUGUUUGUCGCAGCAAAAUUGAAGCAUACAGGAAUGAAGAUCCCCACCAGGUAGACCAUGGUGACUAUAUGCUAAGCACACACACGGAGACCCCAGACUUGCUGGAACCAGAAGGCUGAUGAUGAACAUUCCUGAAACAUCACCUGCUACCUCACCACCAACCAAUCAGAAGAAAGUCAUGUGCCCAUCCCCCAUAACUCUCGCCCCAAAUGUUGCCUUUAAAAGCCUCCUGCCAGUAAGAUGGAUCUGAGACAAACUUACACCUCCCAUCUUCUCGGUCAGUCCCCUCUCCAU
This is a non-coding RNA of Odocoileus virginianus texanus, 754 nucleotides long. The record is from RefSeq and is a predicted model, not a curated record. Lineage: Eukaryota; Metazoa; Chordata; Mammalia; Artiodactyla; Cervidae.